RNAcentral lists this transfer RNA (56 nucleotides) under Heterodera cardiolata. RNAcentral describes it as "tRNA-Thr". The record is from RNAcentral. Lineage: Eukaryota; Metazoa; Nematoda; Chromadorea; Rhabditida; Heteroderidae.
UUCUUUUUAUUUUAUAUUAGAAUUUUUAAUUUGUAAUUAAAAGGAAAUAAGGUUGU